This 253-nucleotide ribosomal RNA is filed under the name uncultured bacterium. RNAcentral's name for it is "partial 16S ribosomal RNA". It matches the Rfam family "Bacterial small subunit ribosomal RNA", at positions 524 to 776 of the family's 1533-position model. The record is from RNAcentral.
CACGGGGGGAGCAAGCGUUGUUCGGAAUCACUGGGCGUAAAGGGCGUGUAGGCGGUUGUGUAAGUGGGAUGUGAAAUGCCUCGGCUUACCCGGGGACCUGCAUCCCAUACUGCAUGACUUGAGUACGGGAGAGGAUGAGGGAAUUCCUGGUGUAGCGGUGAAAUGCGUAGAUAUCAGGAGGAACACCGGUGGCGAAGGCGCUCAUCUGGCCCGAUACUGACGCUGAGGCGCGAAAGCUAGGGGAGCGAACAAG